Molecule: ribosomal RNA, 1164 nt
Filed under: Triticum aestivum (bread wheat)
Lineage: Eukaryota; Viridiplantae; Streptophyta; Magnoliopsida; Poales; Poaceae
Description: partial small subunit ribosomal RNA
Source: RNAcentral
AUGGCGCCCCCCUCGGACGCACACUCUGCAACCAGCAGCGGCGACUCGGCAGCCGCAAAACCUAACCUGGAGCAGUUCCUCGACAAACUCGAUCUUAAUGAGGAAGAUUUCCAAGAUGUUGAGAUUGAUGAGGAUGAUCCCGAGAUCAAUAAAAGUGUCCGUUGGCUAGCCCUUGCUAGGGUUCAUAUGGACAAGAAUUUCAGCCCUUCGGCUUUCUACAAGCAUAUGAGGGCGACUUGGAACCCAGCGCAGAGCGUGAGAUUCCGGCCGGUCGGCCCCAACAGAUUUGUUGUCCAAGCCUCGUGUUUGGGUGAUUGGGAACACAUCAUGCAUCAGGGACCCUGGUUGUUUCGCAACUGGGCGGUUCUCUUGUGCAAGUAUGAUGGAUUCAGCCACGCAGAGGACGUGGUAUUCGACCAUAUGCCUAUCUAGCUUCAAAUCCACGAGCUGCCGGAUCCAUACUGCAAGAGGCAUAUUGUGGAGAAAUUACUCAAGGGUGCAGGUGAGAUCAUGGAGAUGAGGUUGAACGGCAACACUCGUGGUGACUAUGUCAGGGUAAGAGUUAACCAUGAUAUCCAGCAGCCCCUCAUGAAAUUUGUGAGUAUUGUUCGUGCUAAGGAGCGGCAAGUAUAUUUGGUGCGUUAUGAAAAGAUGGCUAGGUUCUGUAAAGUUUGUGGCCUAGUUGGCCAUGAACACAAGGAGUGCGGCUUGGGAAUUCAUGAUGAGAAGAAGCUAAAGUUCGGGGACUGGCUGUAUGCGGAUACCCCCAACCAAACUCGGCCUGAUGUGACUCCGGCCAAGGCUGCCACCCGGCCUUUGGGCGGUGCUGCACCAGUCGUCCCGGUCGAGCCGGGGCAUGAGAAGUUAGACCCUGAGGUUCUGGACACGGCGACUAGUCCGGUGAAGAACCCAGGGGUUGUGAUGGAGGUGGACAAGGAUGGGAGGAAAAGAUUAAACAUGGAUCAUGUUGUGUCUAAGCAGGUCAUCACCACAGGAACACCGACACAGCUACUUGCCAUCACUGAUGGUAAUGGGGAUGAUCUAGGGGCGGGUGUAUCGCCCUCGAGCAGCACUUCAAGCAGUAAACGUCUGAAACUUGCAAGUGAUACGGAGAAGAAUGAGAUAUCGGCAGCCUCCCUCGAGGAGGACCGCCUGAUGCAAUGA